Molecule: ribosomal RNA, 467 nt
Filed under: uncultured bacterium
Lineage: Bacteria
Description: partial 16S ribosomal RNA
Rfam family: Bacterial small subunit ribosomal RNA
Source: RNAcentral
GACGAACGCUGGCGGCGUGCUUAACACAUGCAAGUCGAACGGAAAGGCCCUGCUUUUGUGGGGUGCUCGAGUGGCGAACGGGUGAGUAACACGUGAGUAACCUGCCCUUGACUUUGGGAUAACUUCAGGAAACUGGGGCUAAUACCGGAUAGGAGCUCCUGCUGCAUGGUGGGGGUUGGAAAGUUUCGGCGGUUGGGGAUGGACUCGCGGCUUAUCAGCUUGUUGGUGGGGUAGUGGCUUACCAAGGCUUUGACGGGUAGCCGGCCUGAGAGGGUGACCGGCCACAUUGGGACUGAGAUACGGCCCAGACUCCUACGGGAGGCAGCAGUGGGGAAUAUUGCACAAUGGGCGGAAGCCUGAUGCAGCAACGCCGCGUGCGGGAUGACGGCCUUCGGGUUGGAAACCGCUUUCGCCUGUGACGAAGCGUGAGGGACGGUAAUGGGUAAAGAAGCACCGGCGAACUACGU